This 164-nucleotide ribosomal RNA is filed under the name Hordeum muticum. RNAcentral describes it as "5.8S ribosomal RNA". It matches the Rfam family "5.8S ribosomal RNA". From Rfam's summary of the family: 5.8S ribosomal RNA (5.8S rRNA) is a component of the large subunit of the eukaryotic ribosome. It is transcribed by RNA polymerase I as part of the 45S precursor that also contains 18S and 28S rRNA. The record is from RNAcentral. RNAcentral also lists the same sequence under 3 other names. Lineage: Eukaryota; Viridiplantae; Streptophyta; Magnoliopsida; Poales; Poaceae.
CACAUGACUCUCGGCAACGGAUAUCUCGGCUCUCGCAUCGAUGAAGAACGUAGCGAAAUGCGAUACCUGGUGUGAAUUGCAGAAUCCCGCGAACCAUCGAGUCUUUGAACGCAAGUUGCGCCCGAGGCCAUUCGGCCGAGGGCACGCCUGCCUGGGCGUCACGC